Molecule: ribosomal RNA, 447 nt
Filed under: uncultured bacterium
Lineage: Bacteria
Description: partial 16S ribosomal RNA
Rfam family: Bacterial small subunit ribosomal RNA
Source: RNAcentral
AACGAACGCUGGCGGCAGGCUUAACACAUGCAAGUCGAGCGCCCCGCAAGGGGAGCGGCAGACGGGUGAGUAACGCGUGGGAACGUACCCUUUGCUACGGAAUAACUCCGGGAAACUGGAAUUAAUACCGUAUGUGCCCUACGGGGGAAAGAUUUAUCGGCAAAGGAUCGGCCCGCGUUGGAUUAGCUAGUUGGUGGGGUAAUGGCCUACCAAGGCGACGAUCCAUAGCUGGUCUGAGAGGAUGAUCAGCCACAUUGGGACUGAGACACGGCCCAAACUCCUACGGGAGGCAGCAGUGGGGAAUAUUGGACAAUGGGCGCAAGCCUGAUCCAGCCAUGCCGCGUGAGUGAUGAAGGCCUUAGGGUUGUAAAGCUCUUUCACCGGAGAAGAUAAUGACGGUAUCCGGAGAAGAAGCCCUGGCUAACUUCGUGCCAGCAGCCGCCGUAA